Molecule: long non-coding RNA, 4316 nt
Organism: Prinia subflava (tawny-flanked prinia)
Lineage: Eukaryota; Metazoa; Chordata; Aves; Passeriformes; Cisticolidae
Exons: 3
Source: RefSeq, a predicted model, not a curated record
CUGAGGCACAGUUAGAAAUGCACCAAGCAAAACCUGUUUGGCCAUUGGUAUCUCAUAUUGGUUGUGAAUAACAUAAAACUUUUACUGCUGUUAACAAUUAUGGACAAUAGAAGGUUACUUUACUAUUAGGCACUCUCCAGCUUUUUUCUUCAGAGAAAACAAUAAAAGGGUUGAAGGAGCUAGAGAGAUUAAUUUAUUAGGGAAUAAAAAAAAGACUUAUGUAUGUGCAGCUUGGCUAAAUAAUGAUUAAGGGAGCAACAUUAACACUGCAAAAUGCUGCUUAGCAAACAAUCCUGUAAGGGCAAAUUGUGGGUCCAGAUUAGUUGUGUUGCAGUUGUGUUUAGUGGACCCUGCUAUGUUAUCUGCAACACAAGCUUAGAGUAGGAAACAGUUCCUGGAUAUCUCACAGCGAGAACAAGGAGAAGGAGGACAUAUCCUGCAACAGACUCACACAACAAGGGGGUAACUAAACCAGCAGUAGAAGUCCAGAAUUUUAUUCAAGACAUCUCAGUUUAGCAGUUUCACUGGCAAUUUCUCUGCAAAACACACCUCUGUUUCUGAUUCAAUUGCCAAAACAAGAUUAUUAUUUCAGAGAUGUGGUCUGGUUCUCAUUGUGUUGGGCUUAGACCCAUAACAUGUGUAAAGAAUCCUGCAACACUCCUCAGCAAAAGGUAAAAUUAGCCAUCCAACUAACAAGUUACAGAUACUAUUAGAUGAGAAACAUGCUCAUUAUCCAUGCUAAUCAACUCCUGAAGUAAGUAGUAAAAUACAACUAAUGGAGAUCCAUUUAUGUGUUGUUAUAGGUUUUCAUGGCAAAGCAUUUUAGAAGUGAAAGCGUUUUUAUUUGUGGGCCUACAACCCUUUGCACCUCUCUUUCUCAAUGCUUACAUACAUGAACUUUAAGCUGGUUUGAGCACCUCACCUUCCAGUUGUUCUGAUUCACAUAAAAUUAAGCUUGCUGUGCUCAUCCCAGAAUCUCCUGUUGAAUCCAGUCCCAUCUGCACUUCAAGCAUGGCUCAUUACCAUGGUGAAACUUCCAACAUAGCCAAAAGCUCUUUCCUUCUGGCCCUUUCACAGUCAGGAGCCGUUGUCUGCAGAAGAAAGUUUAGGUCUGGAGCACUGUCAAGAUAGCCACAAUGCCAACAGGACUCACUGUGCCAAAGGGGGAGCAGCCCUUGGUAUCCACCGCUGUAGGCACCGUACAAUGCCUUGGGUGUCCCAGAAGAUCAGAACCAAAAAGGAAAGAUUUGACAGUUACAUAUUUACCUGUGUGUUAAUAGGUGACACAGGAACAAGCACAUUAUCUGAAACAACCCUUUCCAUGCACAUUCUCUUUGCCAACACAGGCAAGCUUAGAGUUUUAAGUUUUUGUCCUUGCAAUUAGGCUUUAUUGUUCCCAAAGAUAUAUGUUAUAACCUUUCCUAAAGAAGAGGGCUUGACUGCUGUUAAUCUGAAAAUAAUGUUUUCAUAGUGCAGAAAACUCAGAAGUAAUUUCUGUUCAGAAUAGAAAGAAUAGUUUAAUUCUCUGUUAGACAGAUGUGUAGAGAGCCUUAGAGUAAACACUAGUACCAUCUGGAUGACAUGUCACCCUUCCCAGAUGGAAAAUUGCUACUUAAUACUGGCUAUGGGAAGAGUUGUGUAAAAAUGCCAUAGAAUUUCAGAUUUUAAAUGUUGGAAAAUUCAUUUAAACUACCAAUAACUACUUCAUCAUUUCUUGGAGUCUGAAGGAAAAAAAACCUCUAAGAAAAUCAGCAGAUCUUACUGCUAAAUUAAAACAGGACUCUACAUUCAGAAGUUUUCAAUUCAUGCGGAACAUUUUCUUUCUUUUAAAUGCACUAAGUGUGAAUACUGAAGAAAGCUCCAGCUUGUGGAUUUUUUCUUCUGGCAGGUACCUUGAUUACUGCCUCUCAUUUUUUUCUGGGAAAAAAAAACCCAACCAACCAACCAACCAAAACAAAAAAAAAACCCCAAAAAACCACAAAAAACCAAACCAAACCAAAACAAACUAAAAAAACCCCAAACCAAACCAACCAACCAACCAACCAACCAAAAAAAAAAAAAAAAAAAAAAAAAAAAAGAAAAGGGGCAGGGGGGGAAAAUGAUAUUGCAUAAGAAUGAUAUCUAGAUAAAAUCUAUUAUUUCCUAGAAGGUAGUGUUUUGAGAUUAGUUCAGAUCUAGAUUUCAAACUGCUCCUAGAGAAUUGUGUAUGUUAUUUAACAGUGGCUUUAGAGGAGAGAACACCUAUAUUCCUCUAUCCACUCUUUUUUCUGUGUUGAAUUAAACUUAUUUUUAACUUAUCAUGGAAAUAAAUAGAGAUCAUUCAGAGGAGUUUAGAAACUGUGUUCAAAGGCCUAUACAGAAAGAAUAAAUAUUUUGCUUCUGACCAUGAUGUUGACACUGUCAACACCUACAGUGGAUAUUAAAGUAUUUUCCUAGCCCUUCCCAAAACUAACACCCAGAGAGGCAGAGUUUCUAGGAACUUCAGUCCAGACAUCAUUCUCUGAAUCCAGAUUAAUUUCUCUGAAAUACAAGAGGACACUCUUAUAGUAGCAUUGAGUGAAAUUAAGCUCUUGCGAUGCUGUGAACGAGAGUCCUCAGGUGCUCCUUGGCUUCAAGGCACAGUGCUGUUUACAGCACCUCUCAUUUCCAAGGAUGGAAACACUCAUUGUGUAAACAUGUCGAUUAUGCAGUGAGGCUCCAGAGUGUGCCUAAGGACAGCAGCUCCUUCCUCCCCUCUCCCCAUGUCCUGCAGUCCAGCAGAGUAUGCAACUUGUUCCUGCUCCUUGCUCCCCCAUCCCUCCCACACUCUGUGCUGCUCCUUCUGCCACCCUCCAAAGCUGGAAUGUCUUCCUGCAAAUACAUCUAAGGCAGCCUGAUCUAUAACCCUGGCAACCCUUUUUACUUUGUCAGAACAGAAGAGCACCCCUAAAUAAUUCUUCCUUUACUCUCUAAAGGAAAUGGUGCUGAAAAAAGCACAUCUAUACCUUGGAAAGUCUACCACUUGUGGAGAAGGAAAUAUUCACUGACAUUCCAGGCCAUCCAGCUGGCUGGUUUCGAGCUACUGGCAGAAAUCUUUCUCUCAGUGUCUGUGCUCACCACCAAGAUGACACUAACUUCUUCUGCAAGCCAUGCUGAAAUGCUAAAAUAUGUAAUAAUAGAAAGAGAGCUCACAUUGGCUUUUCUUUUAGGAAGACAUGAAGGUGUAUAUUAAAAUCAAAUGAUCUAAGGAAUUUUGCUGGUAAACAGUAGUUAUAUCAUAAAAGAAAGAAAUACAAUCAGAAUGCAUCAGACAAUUUAAGCGGGUCCAUGCUGAAUGUUGACUAGUAGGGCACAAUGAAUGCUAAUUUUCCUUUCUAACUUCUGCUGCAGAUUUGCUAAAUUUAAAAGUCUCUCAACUACAAUAAUAACAGUUAUGCAAUUCCAAACUGACCCCAAGGCAAACUCAGAUCCUGACUGAAAAGCUGUGUCACAUUCUCUAUUUUGUUUAUUCUCAUAUAGAUUCUGCAGGAUAAAUUUCUUUUGUUACAUCUAUACAGUCAUGUUGCCAUCAGGGAGAUACCCUGAUCUGUAUGUGGUCAAUUAUUGAUUUGCAUGAUGAUUGGUGAAAGAGCUGGUAAAUAAUUUGCUACACUGUUUUUCCCAAGAAUUACAGUAUUUCAACAUCCACCCAUGAGUACUUCUAUUGUUCAUAAUGAUGACUGAAUUACAAUUUUGUCCACUGUUCCUGUAAUACAUAUCAAUCUGAAUAAUAAGUUACUUUUGUUAGAAUUACUGCAUUUAAUUCACAAUAGCUGAAACAACAGCUGAAGUUCUGUCUCCAUUUGUUCACAUUUCAGAAUACCAUGGAGCUGAUCAUGCUUGCCAAAAAUGCCCUGAAUUCAGUGUGGAAGUAUCUGGAUUGAAGGACAAGGUUUUCUGGAGACACAAAUCUUUGAGGACAUGGUGUUUGACUCAGCUGGCUGAACCCUCAUCCAUGAGCUGAUGUACAGUCCUUUCCCCUCAGAGCAAUUGCAUCAUCACUUCAGAGCACGGAAAAGAAUUUUCUUUCAGCUCUCUGAGCUGCCCAUGAGUACAAGUGGAACAUCUGCAGCCUCUGACGUUGUAACCAUGAGGUUUUGUUGUGUACUGAAGAAAUAGAUGCACCUCAUGCUGGUCAAACUGUGACAAGCUGAAUCCCAGCAAGAUUCCAGGAAGAAUUUUUUCUUUGGUUUGGUUGAUGGAGCAUUUCAGUUUCUUGCUUUGAUAUUACUUUGGAAAUUCUUUUCACUGGAGGAAGGAGUUAUAUCUGAAAUAAGGACACUUUUUCACUAAACCUC